GGAAAAAGAAGAUGGGGGCAGAUAGAACGCAUAUGAACACACACAGACCACACACUACACACACACGCAAACAUCACACACCCGUCACAUACACACCACAUGCCACACAUACACAUACACACCUACCACACAUCACAUACACACCACAUGCCACACACAUCUACCACACACAAUCACAUACACACAUGCCACACACAUACACACCUACCACACACAUCACAUACACACACACACCACACACAUACACACCUACCACGCAUUCACAUACACAUGGCACACAUACACACCUACCACACACAUCACAUACACACACACUACACACACACCUACCACACACAUUCACAUACACACCAUACACCACACACACCUACCACACACAUCACAUACACACACACUACAUGCCACACACACACCUACCACACACACAUCACAUACACACACUACACGCCACGCACACAUACACACCCACCACACACACAUCACAUACAUGGCACAUGCCACACACACACACCUACCACACACACACACCUACCCCACACACAUCACAUACGCUACAUACAACAGCACAUACAUACAUCACACACAUACCACACGCACACACACACCCCACACGCCCCACACACACCUACCACACACAUCACACGAAUACACCACACUCCACACACACCACACACAAUCGCAUACACACUACAUGCCACACACACAUACACACCUACUAAUCACAUACACACACUAUAUGCCACACACACACACC
Molecule: long non-coding RNA, 754 nt
Filed under: Homo sapiens (human)
Lineage: Eukaryota; Metazoa; Chordata; Mammalia; Primates; Hominidae
Description: non-protein coding lnc-SLC7A1-3:3
Source: RNAcentral